GGGGGAAAAUUAAUAAAUAAGAUUUAAUAAAAAAAUUUUUAAUAUUAAAAUAAUUUAAUGGGGGUUAAAGUAUAUUUAAUAGAAAAAAUUAAAAAAUUUAUAGUAAAAUAGUAUUGUAUAAGAAAUUUGAAAUAAGUGAAAAUAAAUUUAAUAAAAAGUAAAUUUAAUUUAUUGUAUCUUGUGUAUCAGAGUUUAUUAAUAGAAAUUUUUAAUUAAAAAUUUCUCGAAUUUAAAAGAGUUAAUUAAUUAUUAAAGUUAAUGUUGAAUAAUUAUUUUAAAUAGUUAAUUAGAAAUGAAAUGUUAAUCGUUUUUAAAUAUAUCUAGUUUUUUUAGAAAAAAAUUUAAUUUUAAAUAUAAAAAAAAAUGUAAUUUUAUUUAAAUAAAAUUACAUUUUUUAUAUUAAAUAUUUUAGGGGAUAAGCUUUAAAAUAGAUAUUUAUAAUAUGUAAAAUAAACUUAAAUUAAAAUUUUUAGAAUUUAUAUUGUUAAUAAAUUAUAAUUUUUUAUAAAUAAUUUUAUAUAAAUAUUAAAAUUUAAUAUUUUAUAUAUUUAAUUUAAUAUAAAAAAAAAUUUUUGAAUUUUAAAAAUUUUGUUAUAAUGAUAAAAUUAGUAUAUAAAAUUUAAUAAAAAUAAUAAUUUAGGAUAAUUUUAAUAAAGGAAUUCGGCAAAUAUAUAUAUUCACUUGUUUAUCAAAAACAUGUCUUUUUGAAAAUAAUUUAAAGUCUAAUCUGCCCACUGAUUUUAAAUUAAAGGGCUGCAGUAUUUUGACUGUACAAAGGUAGCAUAAUCAAUAGUCUCUUAAUUGGUGACUUGUAUGAAAGAUUUGAUGAAAUAUAAACUGUCUCUAUUAAAUUUAUAAAAUUUAAUUUUUUAGUUAAAAAGCUAAAAUAUAUUUAAAAGACGAGAAGACCCUAUAGAGUUUUAUAAUUCAUUUAUUUUUAUUUUUGUUUAAAUAUUAAAAUUAAAAAUAAAUGAAUUAUUUUAUUGGGGUGAUAGAAAAAUUAAAUAAACUUUUUUUAAAAUUUUUACAUUAAUAUAUGAUUAUAUGAUCCGUAAAUUACGAUUAAAAGAUUAAAUUACCUUAGGGAUAACAGCGUAAUUUUUUUUUUUAGUUCAAAUAAGAAAAAGAGUUUGCGACCUCGAUGUUGGAUUAAGAUAAAAUUUAAAAUGCAAAAGUUUAAAAUUUUUGAUCUGUUCGAUCAUUAAAAUCUUACAUGAUCUGAGUUCAAACCGGUGUAAGCCAGGUUGGUUUCUAUCUUUAAAUAAUUAAAAUACUUUAGUACGAAAGGAUUAAGUAUUUAAAAUAAUUUUAAUAAAUGAAUAUUAAUAAUAUAAUUUAUAAAUA
This 1344-nucleotide ribosomal RNA is filed under the name Allancastria cerisyi. RNAcentral describes it as "16S ribosomal RNA". The stretch from base 1086 to 1246 matches the Rfam family "Eukaryotic large subunit ribosomal RNA", at positions 2825 to 2984 of the family's 3401-position model. The record is from RNAcentral. Lineage: Eukaryota; Metazoa; Arthropoda; Insecta; Lepidoptera; Papilionidae.